RNAcentral lists this ribosomal RNA (429 nucleotides) under uncultured bacterium. Its description in RNAcentral is "bacterial SSU rRNA". It matches the Rfam family "Bacterial small subunit ribosomal RNA", at positions 355 to 776 of the family's 1533-position model. The record is from RNAcentral.
UGGGGAAUCUUGCGCAAUGCGCGAAAGCGUGACGCAGCAACGCCGCGUGGGGGAAGAAGGCCUUCGGGUUGUAAACCCCUUUCAGGAGGGACGAAGGUUCGGCGGUGAAUAGCCGACCGGACUGACGGUACCUCCACAAGAAGCCCCGGCUAACUACGUGCCAGCAGCCGCGGUAAUACGUAGGGGGCAAGCGUUGUCCGGAAUCAUUGGGCGUAAAGCGCGCGUAGGCGGCCCGGUAAGUCCGUUGUAAAAGUCAAAGGCUCAACCUUUGAAAGCCGAUGGAUACUGCCGGGCUAGAGUCCGGAAGAGGCGAGUAGAAUUCCUGGUGUAGCGGUGGAAUGCGCAGAUAUCAGGAGGAAUACCUAUAGCGAAGGCAGCUCGCUGGGACGGUACUGACGCUGAGGCGCGAAAGCGUGGGGAGCGAACAGG